AAAAGACAGAGAAGGGUUGCAACUCUUUUAAAAAUCUCUAUACUUUGUUUUGCAAUGGUAGCCCCGCUGGUGGCUUCGCAAUUGUACUCUGUGAACCCCGCCAGGACCGGAAGGUAGCAACGGUAGCAGAUCUAUGAUGUGCCGAAGUUUUGCUAGUGGGGUUGCCACCAUUCUUUU
This 177-nucleotide small RNA is filed under the name Acinetobacter baumannii. RNAcentral describes it as "Bacterial large signal recognition particle RNA". The stretch from base 65 to 161 matches the Rfam family "Bacterial small signal recognition particle RNA". From Rfam's summary of the family: The signal recognition particle (SRP) is a universally conserved ribonucleoprotein involved in the co-translational targeting of proteins to membranes. Archaeal SRP consists of a 7S RNA and homologues of the eukaryotic SRP19 and SRP54 proteins. The record is from RNAcentral. Lineage: Bacteria; Pseudomonadati; Pseudomonadota; Gammaproteobacteria; Moraxellales; Moraxellaceae.